Molecule: ribosomal RNA, 274 nt
Filed under: uncultured bacterium
Lineage: Bacteria
Description: partial 16S ribosomal RNA
Rfam family: Bacterial small subunit ribosomal RNA
Source: RNAcentral
AUACGGAGGGGGUUAGCGUUGUUCGGAAUUACUGGGCGUAAAGCGCACGUAGGCGGAUUGGAAAGUUGGGGGUGAAAUCCCAGGGCUCAACCCUGGAACUGCCUCCAAAACUAACAGUCUAGAGUUCGAGAGAGGUGAGUGGAAUUCCAAGUGUAGAGGUGAAAUUCGUAGAUAUUCGGAGGAACACCAGUGGCGAAGGCGGCUCACUGGCUCGAUACUGACGCUGAGGUGCGAAAGCGUGGGGAGCAAACAGGAUUAGAAACCCUAGUAGUCC